This is a long non-coding RNA of Hyaena hyaena (striped hyena), 746 nucleotides long. RefSeq lists it as uncharacterized. The record is from RefSeq and is a predicted model, not a curated record. The transcript has 2 exons. NCBI's taxonomy places the organism in Eukaryota, Metazoa, Chordata, Mammalia, Carnivora, Hyaenidae.
GAAAGCAGUCCACCCACCCAGCCCGGGUCCCCCCGAGGCUGACAUGAGCAGCAGGGCAGGCUUGGUUUCCGUGGGGCCCCCUCCUCCGCGGAAGUGGGGUCCACUCAGGCCUCCCUCACAGGCUCCCAACAUGGACUGUUGGCAGGACCUGGGGCUCCUCUCCGUGGCCCAGAUGUGCCUCCUCACAUGACCUGACACCAUUCUCUUUGACUCCUAUCCUCACCUCCCUAAGAACUCUGAGAGAAAGGUGAAGGGUCAUCCAUUCAUGCCCUCUCUUUACCCCCUACCCCCCAACAAAUUCCCAAAGAGCUGAGAGUGGGGCUUGGCCCCUCUGUCCUGGCGUGGGAGUCCACUCUUUGCCUCAAGGUGCUGGUGUGUCCUUUCGGAGGAUCUGGAACUAUCCCUUCUGCUCACCUGAGGAUGUGUCUUCCUGCGGGCCAAGGCCACCCUCCCGCUGACACCCACAGGACAAAGCGGGCUGCUUCCUCCACCUGACACGGGCCCUGGCUGGCGGGACUGACCCGCAGGGCAGGUAGUUGCUUGGUACCCCUAGGUCUGGGUGGGGGUCUGCUCCGUCCUGUCUCAGGACCCUGAGACUCCACUCUGUGGUGACCUGAGGCUACGCUCCUCAGACCAAGGCCCUCAUCCCCCUCAGACCCUGGAUGCACAAGAAACACUUCUUCUGCUCAGCCCCGCCAUGGAGGACAUCCAAGCAGGAGCCCAAGGGCGAAAAGCAAAGUUAAAAU